Molecule: transfer RNA, 78 nt
Filed under: Coprinellus micaceus
Lineage: Eukaryota; Fungi; Basidiomycota; Agaricomycetes; Agaricales; Psathyrellaceae
Description: tRNA-Val
Rfam family: tRNA
About the family: Transfer RNA (tRNA) molecules are approximately 80 nucleotides in length. Their secondary structure includes four short double-helical elements and three loops (D, anti-codon, and T loops).
Source: RNAcentral
CCGGGUAUGGUGUAAAGGUAACAUACUGCACAACUCACAAUUGUGGAGACGUUCGGGGUUCGAUUCCUUGUGCCUGGA